RNAcentral lists this ribosomal RNA (469 nucleotides) under uncultured bacterium. RNAcentral's name for it is "SSU rRNA". It matches the Rfam family "Bacterial small subunit ribosomal RNA", at positions 26 to 518 of the family's 1533-position model. The record is from RNAcentral.
AGGACGAACGCUGGCGGCGUGCUUAACACAUGCAAGUCGAGCGGAAAGGCCCUUCGGGGUACUCGAGCGGCGAACGGGUGAGUAACACGUGGGCAACCUGCCCCUAGCUCUGGGAUAACUCCGGGAAACCGGUGCUAAUACCGGAUAUGACCUCAAUUGGCAUCCUUUGAGGUGGAAAGAUUUAUUGGCUAGGGAUGGGCCCGCGGCCUAUCAGCUUGUUGGUGGGGUAAUGGCCUACCAAGGCGACGACGGGUAGCCGGCCUGAGAGGGCGACCGGCCACACUGGGACUGAGACACGGCCCAGACUCCUACGGGAGGCAGCAGUGGGGAAUAUUGCGCAAUGGGCGAAAGCCUGACGCAGCGACGCCGCGUGAGGGAUGACGGCCUUCGGUGUAACUACUUCGACUUCGACGAAGCCUUGGUGACGGUAGGGUGGAGAAGCACCGGCCAACUACGCGCCAGCAGCCGC